GGAAUAUUGGGCAAUGGACGCAAGUCUGACCCAGCCACGCCGCGUGAAGGAUGACGGCCCUAUGGGUUGUAAACUUCUUUUGUAUGGGAAGAAACCCCUCUACGUGUAGAGGGCUGACGGUACCAUAAGAAUAAGCAUCGGCUAACUCCGUGCCAGCAGCCGCGGUAAUACGGAGGAUGCAAGCGUUGUCCGGAUUCAUUGGGUUUAAAGGGUGCGUAGGCGGAGAAUUAAGUCAGUGGUGAAAGCUUGC
Molecule: ribosomal RNA, 250 nt
Filed under: uncultured bacterium
Lineage: Bacteria
Description: partial 16S ribosomal RNA
Rfam family: Bacterial small subunit ribosomal RNA
Source: RNAcentral